UACGGGGGGGGCAAGCGUUGUUCGGAAUUACUGGGCGUAAAGGGCUCGUAGGUGGCCAACUAAGUCAGACGUGAAAUCCCUCAGCUUAACUGGGGAACUGCGUCUGAUACUGGAUGGCUUGAGUUUGGGAGAGGGAUGCGGAAUUCCAGGUGUAGCGGUGAAAUGCGUAGAUAUCUGGAGGAAUACCGGUGGCGAAGGCGGCAUCCUGGACCAACACUGACACUGAGGAGCGAAAGCCAGGGGAGCAAACGGG
This 253-nucleotide ribosomal RNA is filed under the name uncultured bacterium. Its description in RNAcentral is "partial 16S ribosomal RNA". It matches the Rfam family "Bacterial small subunit ribosomal RNA", at positions 524 to 776 of the family's 1533-position model. The record is from RNAcentral.